Molecule: ribosomal RNA, 525 nt
Filed under: uncultured Glomus
Lineage: Eukaryota; Fungi; Glomeromycota; Glomeromycetes; Glomerales; Glomeraceae
Description: SSU rRNA
Rfam family: Eukaryotic small subunit ribosomal RNA
Source: RNAcentral
UGGUGCCAGCAGCCGCGGUAAUUCCAGCUCCAAUAGCGUAUAUUAAAGUUGUUGCAGUUAAAAAGCUCGUAGUUGAAUUUCGGGAUCAGCAGGUUGGUCGUGCCUCUGGUACGCACUGGUUUCGCUGAUUCCUCCUUUCUGAAGAACUGUAAUGUCAUUAAUUUGGUGUUGCAGGGAAACAGGACUGUUACUUUGAAAAAAUUAGAGUGUUUAAAGCAGGCUAACGCUUGAAUACAUUAGCAUGGAAUAAUGAAAUAGGACGUUUGAUCCUAUUUUGUUGGUUUCUAGGAUUGACGUAAUGAUUAAUAGGGAUAGUUGGGGGCAUUAGUAUUCAAUUGUCAGAGGUGAAAUUCUUGGAUUUAUUGAAGACUAACUACUGCGAAAGCAUUUGCCAAGGAUGUUUUCAUUAAUCAAGAACGAAAGUUAGGGGAUCGAAGACGAUCAGAUACCGUCGUAGUCUUAACCAUAAACUAUGCCGACUAGGGAUCGGAUGAUGUUAAUUUUUUAAUGACUCAUUCGGCGCCU